UGCAGACACAUGUUCUGGGUCAAAGAGGGUGGCCGGCUAGACUCGGUCUUAAUUCAGUUACCUAGCUGUUGUCUGAUCUUAAUAGGACUUCUUGGGGGUGGUUUGAUCUGAACAUAAUAUGGGCUCAACCAAAAUCUGUCUUCCCUAAGGGGAGUCAAUCCAUAUUUAUAGGACUAGGGAACCAAUCUUCGCUUGACACGUGUAAAGUUCUAGCAAGUGGCCUGUCUCAGUCAUUGAUAUUCAUUCCGGUGUCAAAUCAGGUGCCUCUGUAACACUGACAACCUUGACAAGCUUGGUUGGUGGUAUCUAGUUUGUCCAUCCGAUUGGUGUGUUUACCUGUUCGACCCGUUCGUGAAAUAGGUAUGUUCGACGACUUGUUGAUAUUGUUGAUUUUUCCCAAAACAGGUCGGAGGGUCGAAG
RNAcentral lists this unclassified non-coding RNA (420 nucleotides) under Hevea brasiliensis (rubber tree). The record is from RNAcentral. Lineage: Eukaryota; Viridiplantae; Streptophyta; Magnoliopsida; Malpighiales; Euphorbiaceae.